Molecule: ribosomal RNA, 498 nt
Filed under: uncultured bacterium
Lineage: Bacteria
Description: partial 16S ribosomal RNA
Rfam family: Bacterial small subunit ribosomal RNA
Source: RNAcentral
UAAGGAAUAUUGGUCAAUGGACGCAAGUCUGAACCAGCCAUGCCGCGUGAAGGAUUAAGGUCCUCUGGAUUGUAAACUUCUUUUAUCUGGGACGAAAAAAGGCGAUUCUUCGUCACUUGACGGUACCAGAUGAAUAAGCACCGGCUAACUCCGUGCCAGCAGCCGCGGUAAUACGGAGGGUGCAAGCGUUAUCCGGAUUCACUGGGUUUAAAGGGUGCGUAGGCGGGCAGGUAAGUCAGUGGUGAAAUCCUGGAGCUUAACUCCAGAACUGCCAUUGAUACUAUCUGUCUUGAAUAUUGUGGAGGUAAGCGGAAUAUGUCAUGUAGCGGUGAAAUGCUUAGAUAUGACAUAGAACACCUAUUGCGAAGGCAGCUUACUACGCAUAUAUUGACGCUGAGGCACGGAAGCGUGGGGAUCAAACAGGAUUAGAUACCCUGGUAGUCCACGCCCUAAACGAUGGAUACUCGACAUACGCGAUACACUGUGUGUGUCUGAGCG